UCCCAACGCAAAGUGGAAUCACAAAGACAGAAGUUUUGCAGAGAAGCAGUUUGUCUAUCUACCCUUAGAACAUCAUGAAAAUAAGGAAUCGCAGGAAUUAUCUGUAAAACUCUACGAGGAGUUCGUCGAAGACUACAAAGGCACAGAAAAUGAAUGGAUUGCGGCCGCUUGUUUGAAAUAUGCAAUCGUCCACAAGGAGUUAAUAGACCAGUUUGGACGCUAUCCGCAUAGGAACGCUGCACUGGGCAGGGCGAACACGCCAGAGGAAGAAGAGUUUCUAGCCAACAUACCGGCCAAAUACCGCUUUUAACGUACG
Molecule: long non-coding RNA, 316 nt
Organism: Lingula anatina
Lineage: Eukaryota; Metazoa; Brachiopoda; Lingulata; Lingulida; Lingulidae
Source: RefSeq, a predicted model, not a curated record